UCACACCAAUUAUGGAAUGUAAAUAUUCUACAAUCAAUUUCGUUCCUAUCUUUAUUUGAUAGGAUCCGGUUUCCACACUCCCUCUCAAGUUGGAUCAUAGAUGUUAAUCGUGUCCAACUUGCAUAUGAAAUCAUUGAAGGUUGGACGAGGUAGUCCCUUAGUAAAGAUAUCUGCAACUUACUCUUGUGUAGGAACAUAAGUCAUGCAAAUGGUUCCUUCCUCAACUUUCUACUUUAUAAAGUGUGUCAACUUCUAUAUGUUUAGUACGAUCAUGUUGGACUGGAUAAAGUGAGAUAUUGAUUGCUACCUUGUUAUAUUGGAUCAUAGAUGUUAAUCGUGUCCAACUUGCAUAUGAAAUCAUUGAAGGUUGGACGAGGUAGUCCCUUAGUAAAGAUAUCUGCAACUUACUCUUGUGUAGGAACAUAAGUCAUGCAAAUGGUUCCUUCCUCAACUUUCUCCUUUAUAAAGUGUGUCAACUUCUAUAUGUUUAGUACGAUCAUGUUGGACUGGAUAAAGUGAGAUAUUGAU
Molecule: long non-coding RNA, 528 nt
Filed under: Olea europaea (common olive)
Lineage: Eukaryota; Viridiplantae; Streptophyta; Magnoliopsida; Lamiales; Oleaceae
Description: long non-coding RNA (OEUR_LNC001907)
Source: RNAcentral